CAGCAGCCGCGGUAAUACCGGCGGCCCGAGUGGCGGUCACUAUUAUUGGGCUUAAAGCGUCCGUAGCCGGGUUGGGAAGUCCUCCGGGAAAUCUGGCCGCUUAACGGUCAGAAUGCCGGAGGAUACUCCCAGCCUAGGGAGCGGGAGAGGCCGAGGGGAUUCCCGGAGUAGGGGGGAAAUCCUAUAAUCCCGGGAGGACCACCUGUGGCGAAGGCGCUCGGCUGGAACGCGUCCGACGGUGAGGGACGAAGGCCAGGGGAGCAAACCGGAUUAGAUACCCGGGUAGUCCUGGCUGUAAAGGAUGCGGGCUAGGUGUCGGGUGAGCUUCGGGCUCGCCCGGUGCCGUAGGGAAGCCGUUAAGCCCGCCGCCUGGGGAGUACGGCCGCAAGGCUGAAACUUAAAGGAAUUGGCGGG
RNAcentral lists this ribosomal RNA (414 nucleotides) under uncultured microorganism. RNAcentral's name for it is "bacterial SSU rRNA". It matches the Rfam family "Archaeal small subunit ribosomal RNA", at positions 459 to 872 of the family's 1478-position model. The record is from RNAcentral.